GGCAGGGUGGCGGAGUGGUCAAACGCACCUGGCUGUAAACUAGGCGCCCGUCGGGCUUCGGGGGUUCGAAUCCCUCCCCUGCCACCA
This 87-nucleotide transfer RNA is filed under the name Dehalococcoidia bacterium. RNAcentral describes it as "tRNA-Tyr". It matches the Rfam family "tRNA". Rfam says of the family: Transfer RNA (tRNA) molecules are approximately 80 nucleotides in length. Their secondary structure includes four short double-helical elements and three loops (D, anti-codon, and T loops). The record is from RNAcentral. Lineage: Bacteria; Bacillati; Chloroflexota; Dehalococcoidia.